This is a long non-coding RNA of Alosa sapidissima (American shad), 509 nucleotides long. RefSeq lists it as uncharacterized. The transcript is spliced from 3 exons. NCBI's taxonomy places the organism in Eukaryota, Metazoa, Chordata, Actinopteri, Clupeiformes, Clupeidae. The record is from RefSeq and is a predicted model, not a curated record.
GCUCCUCCGAUCCGUCAGAGUAGCACUUCCAUUGUCAAAAGCAAUCCUCAGCCAAAAGCUAUAUUUUCUGAAAAACGACUCUUGGAUAUCACCUUGUCGUGGGAAACAGCAGAUCACCACCCUCCAGCUAACAACAACUCUCCAACGAUCAAGGCCUCAACGAAAAAGACCACCUUCAGCAUUCACUCCGCAUUACUCCCGGCAGAGACAGGUGUCUUGUCCUACUAACACCCCACUCGUGGCCUGCACCUUGAUGUGGUGAGUGGGCUUUCAACUAUACAAGUCUUACUUUCAUGUUCCCAUGGAGUAUGGAGGUUAACUGGCACCAUAAUUGAUGUAAAAAGUAGUGAUGCUCCGAUUGAAGUGGCGUGAAUGCGAGGCUAUUGACCAGACGGAUAAGCUACCAAGUUGAAUUGAACAUAGCCUCACGCAGACACACACACACAGUGAACCACUACGCAACCAUGGCGAACGUAUACAUUUGGAGAGAGCUCCUUCCUAACUACCAC